UUUGUCGUUUUGAUUCAGAAGAAUAUCAAAACAGGGUGAUAUCAUAUCGUAAUUCAUUACAAAUGACAAUUAAGUCAAUAUAUUUGUAGUCAGUGGACAAUCGUAUGAGCAAUUAUUGUUUACUUUUGCUGAGUGGAACUCGGAACGUGCGCGCGUAGGUCAGAGUUUUGACGCAAGCAGACGACUGUGUGUCCUAUAAAAGUAUUAAAAGGAGAACGGCCCGGCAACCACGCGCAUUUACGUUGUAGAAAUCAAUUUUCGUGACUGAAUUUCAUCGGAUUCAAAUAGAAGAAGUCCCAAAUAGCUUUUUCAUCGACCGAUUUCGCAAAUAUGUGGAUUUGAGGAUAGCCUGCGGAACAGUUCUUACCUAUUCGAGAGAAAAAACACCUCAAUAAUCCAAAGAAACCCCGGACACAACUUAAAUGCAAAAACGCAUUUUGUUAUUGUUUUUGUAUUUUGAUAAGGAACUGAGGACCUAGUAAACAUGAAGCUGUCGCCACUUUUCUGUUGCUUCCUGCUGAUAGUCAUUUGGCAGGAGCUCUGUAAUGCCUCUCCCCGGAGAGAGAUGUUGACGCAGCGAAGCUCGGGAUCUGAUGACGGGGAAGUUGAGGGCAGAGCGACGGAGCGGAGGAUUCCAGAUCUGAGCGCAUUAGUUGAAAGUGCCCGCAGACGGCAACACCAUCAUGACGGUCAUCAAACGCGCGAGACCAGAAUCUCCCGACACCGCAGCUUCUUGAAGCAAAUCUCCGCAGCUCUCGUUCGUGCCCAAAAGAAAGCAGGACGAGGCCCGUCUGACAUCAAGUCUAUCCCGCCAGUAGAUGCAGUUUAUUCUGGGAAGGAGAGGUCUUCGUUAAACACGGUAAAGAGAGUCCCUAAUGCUCCGAAUUUUCCGAGGCAACGGAACUUUCAUCACCAUCAUCGUCCCGCGCGCCGGAAUAGGUUUUCGCUUCGAUUGCAUCUUCCCGCAAGACGGCGUCAGGGUCAUUCAGCAAUGGUUUAAAACAAGAGAGUAAACACGGGUUUCCGUAACGGAGAAUACGUAAGAGAAGAGUGCAACUCCCUCUGUAACCAUGCCAACGUUUGAAGAAAGCGAUCAAUCACAAACGCAGAAAAUGUCAUGGAAUCGCCCGGCUUCACUCCCGCGAGUACAUGUGUCUUCUGCUGUACACCCAGUGUUUGCUUUCAGAGGUGAACCACUGCGGAUGAGUGUACACCUCAUCUUGGACUUGGAUAGAACGUUUUAAAGCAAUGCAUAUGAAUUCUCGAUACAGAAUACAGAAACAUUUCACAACCGUAUUCUUCAGAGACAUGUUUUUCUCCGGCGUAAGGUACAUUAGUCUGAAAGCAAAAUAAUGUCAAAUUAUGGAGGCUCAUGCAAGGUGUUUUAAGGUGAAUUUGCCUGCUUUCGGUACGGACUUGAGGAAACGACGGACGAAGACAAGCAAUCAGGAAAUCUAUUGACUUGCUUGUCUUUGAGUUUAAAAAGACGGUCAAAUGAACUGUAAAAAGAUUUAUGAGUUGAUAAAGGUAUUCUAAAGAGACCUCGGUAAUAGGAUAGAUAUCACCAUUGAUAGUGACAGUAAUGGAAAGUUUUGUUUCGUUUUGAUCGUGUGGUCCUUGGUGUCACAACCAAUGACCGACAACCUGAGACCGACAACCAAGAACCAACAACCUUGGUGUCACAACCAAGGACCGCUAGGUUUUAAUUUGAGGGCAAAUGUUCACUUUAAGUUCUUUUAGAAUAGAAAGUAAUACCUCA
Molecule: long non-coding RNA, 1759 nt
Organism: Lineus longissimus
Lineage: Eukaryota; Metazoa; Nemertea; Pilidiophora; Heteronemertea; Lineidae
Exons: 2
Source: RefSeq, a predicted model, not a curated record